GAUGAACGCUGGCGGCGUGCCUAAUACAUGCAAGUCGAGCGAACAGACGAGGAGCUUGCUCCUCUGACGUUAGCGGCGGACGGGUGAGUAACACGUGGAUAACCUACCUAUAAGACUGGGAUAACUUCGGGAAACCGGAGCUAAUACCGGAUAAUAUAUUGAACCGCAUGGUUCAAUAGUGAAAGACGGUUUUGCUGUCACUUAUAGAUGGAUCCGCGCCGCAUUAGCUAGUUGGUAAGGUAACGGCUUACCAAGGCAACGAUGCGUAGCCGACCUGAGAGGGGGACCGGCCACACUGAACUGAGACACGGUCCAGACUCCUACGGGAGGCAGCAGUAGGGAAUCUUCCGCAAUGGGCGAAAGCCUGACGGAGCAACGCCGCGUGAGUGAUGAAGGUCUUCGGAUCGUAAAACUCUGUUAUUAGGGAAGAACAAAUGUGUAAGUAACUAUGCACGUCUUGACGGUACCUAAUCAGAAAGCCACGGCUAACUACGUG
RNAcentral lists this ribosomal RNA (496 nucleotides) under uncultured bacterium. RNAcentral's name for it is "partial 16S ribosomal RNA". It matches the Rfam family "Bacterial small subunit ribosomal RNA", at positions 28 to 507 of the family's 1533-position model. The record is from RNAcentral.